Molecule: long non-coding RNA, 272 nt
Filed under: Mytilus galloprovincialis (Mediterranean mussel)
Lineage: Eukaryota; Metazoa; Mollusca; Bivalvia; Mytilida; Mytilidae
Source: RNAcentral
CAAUGUACAAGUAAGACACAGUCUUCAACUAGUGGCAAUGUACAAGUAAGACACAGUCUUCAACAAGUGGCAAUGUACAAGUAAGACACAGUCUUCAACAAGUGGAAAUGUACAAGUAAGACACAGUCUUCAAAAAGUGGCAAUGUACAAGUAAGACACAGUCUUCAAAAAGUGGCAAUGUACAAGUAAGACACAGUCUUCAACAAGUGGCAAUGUACAAGUAAGACACAGUUUUUAACUAGUGGCAAUGAACAAGUAAGACACAGUCUUCA